RNAcentral lists this ribosomal RNA (425 nucleotides) under uncultured bacterium. RNAcentral's name for it is "partial 16S ribosomal RNA". It matches the Rfam family "Bacterial small subunit ribosomal RNA", at positions 354 to 796 of the family's 1533-position model. The record is from RNAcentral.
GUGGGGAAUAUUGGACAAUGGGCGCAAGCCUGAUCCAGCCAUGCCGCGUGAGUGAUGAAGGCCUUAGGGUUGUAAAGCUCUUUCAGUGGGGACGAUAAUGACGGUACCCACAGAAGAAGCCCCGGCUAACUUCGUGCCAGCAGCCGCGGUAAUACGAAGGGGGCUAGCGUUGUUCGGAUUUACUGGGCGUAAAGCGCACGUAGGCGGAUCGUUAAGUCGGGGUUGAAAUCCUGGAGCUCAACUCCAGAACUGCCUUCGAUACUGGCGAUCUUGAGUCCGGAAGAGGUGAGUGGAACUCCUAGUGUAGAGGUGGAAUUCGUAGAUAUUAGGAAGAACACCAGGGGCGAAGGCGGCUCACUGGUCCGGUACUGACGCUGAGGUGCGAAAGCGGGGGGAGCAAACAGGAUUAGAAACCCGGGUAGUCC